This 253-nucleotide ribosomal RNA is filed under the name uncultured bacterium. Its description in RNAcentral is "partial 16S ribosomal RNA". It matches the Rfam family "Bacterial small subunit ribosomal RNA", at positions 524 to 776 of the family's 1533-position model. The record is from RNAcentral.
UACGUAGGGCGCAAGCGUUGUCCGGAAUUAUUGGGCGUAAAGAGCUCGUAGGCGGUCUGUUACGUCCGCUGUGAAAACCCAGGGCUUAACCCUGGGCUUGCAGUGGAUACGGGUAGACUAGAGGCAGGUAGGGGAGAAUGGAAUUCCCGGUGUAGCGGUGAAAUGCGCAGAUAUCGGGAGGAACACCGGUGGCGAAGGCAAUCCCCUGGGCCUGCACUGACGCUCAUGCACGAAAGCGUGGGGAGCAAACAGG